RNAcentral lists this ribosomal RNA (465 nucleotides) under uncultured bacterium. RNAcentral describes it as "partial 16S ribosomal RNA". It matches the Rfam family "Bacterial small subunit ribosomal RNA", at positions 338 to 795 of the family's 1533-position model. The record is from RNAcentral.
CCUACGGGUGGCAGCAGUAGGGAAUUUUCGUCAAUGGGCGCAAGCCUGAACGAGCGAUGCCGCGUGAGUGAAGAAGGCCUUCGGGUCGGAAAGCUCUGUUGCGGGGGAAAUAAGACAGCAUCCGGAAAUGGGUGCUGACUUAUGGUGCCCCGCCAGACAGUCACGGCUAAAUACGUCCCAGCAGCCGCGGUAAUACGUAGGUGGCGAGCGUUAUCCGGAAUGAUUGGGAGGAAGGGGUGCGCAGGCGGUCCUGCAAGUCUGUAGUGAAACGCAUGGGCUCAACUGAUACAUGGCUUUUGAAACUGGCAGACUGGAGAGCAGGAGAGGGCGGUGGAACUCCAUGUGUAGCGGUAAAAUGCGUAGAUAUAUGGAAGAACACCAGUGGCGAAGGCGGCCGCCUGGCCUGUUGCUGACGCUGAGGCACGAAAGCGUGGGGAGCAAAUAGGAUUAGAUACCCGUGUAGUC